AUUGAUAAUCAGAUCAGCCUAUAAGAAUCUUACUUUGGAUCAUAACUUUAUAUAUAAAACUCUUGGUGAUCAAAAUACAAAAUACGAGAAACCAUAACCAUUAAAUAUUGAAGGACAACGAUACAGUUUUGUAACUAUCCGAUCGAAGUCUUAUCCAAAUCUUAAGAAAAUUCAUUGAAAGCACGUUUUACACAUAACGGAAAGUCUCACGCUCUGGGUAUAAAGUGGAAAGAUGUUUAAUCAAAGGCCAAGCUCACUAUUCCCAACUCUGGUGUAAGGACAGCAGAUGCCUACCGAUUCGACUGGCUACAAUAAAAGUGAACAAGGACAUUUAACCUAUUGUAUUUGCCGGUAAAAGCUUUCGAUAGUUAAAAGUUAUGCAGAUGGAAUUUCAAGCCAGGAAUAUUUACAUUUAAUUGAAUGUUUUGCUUAUCAAAAUGCCUGUGACAUCCAUUUGACAGCUAUUUGGUUACACAUACGAUUCGUUCGAUUCGAAAAUCGGUCGGUUGUCGCCCUAUAAAACUGUCAUAACAUUACCGAAAUUCAAGACCAGCACAUUUUAUUAAAUUGCCCGGAGAAUAGCAUUGAUUACAGCAUUUGAAAUGCCGCAGACGAAAGCGCAGUUCAAUUGAAAUGCCGUAAAAUGGCAGAUGGGUCCGUAUUGAAGUAAAUAAGCCGCGAAACGAAACAAACAGAAUAUCUAAUUAUAAAGAUAAUUUGCUAGUCAUGGCAAAGGAUUUCUAUUUGCUGGACAAUUCACGAGAGGACGUGUACAAUUUUACUCUAAUAAGUCACGAGCACGAAAAACAAAUGUCGCAGCAUAUAUAUGUCAGAACUGUCAUAUCUAUCGGAUUUAAAGUUUGUCAACUUACAUACUUAUUAACC
Drosophila montana is the source of this 885-nucleotide long non-coding RNA. RefSeq lists it as uncharacterized. The transcript is spliced from 3 exons. The record is from RefSeq and is a predicted model, not a curated record. Lineage: Eukaryota; Metazoa; Arthropoda; Insecta; Diptera; Drosophilidae.